RNAcentral lists this transfer RNA (73 nucleotides) under Solirubrobacteraceae bacterium. RNAcentral describes it as "tRNA-Arg". It matches the Rfam family "tRNA". From Rfam's summary of the family: Transfer RNA (tRNA) molecules are approximately 80 nucleotides in length. Their secondary structure includes four short double-helical elements and three loops (D, anti-codon, and T loops). The record is from RNAcentral. Lineage: Bacteria; Bacillati; Actinomycetota; Thermoleophilia; Solirubrobacterales; Solirubrobacteraceae. RNAcentral also lists the same sequence under 2 other names.
GCGCCCGUAGCUCAGUGGAUAGAGCGCCCGCCUCCGGAGCGGGAGGUCGCAGGUUCAAAUCCUGCCGGGCGCG